CCAGAGAACUUAGCAGAGAUGCUUUGGUGCCUUCGGGAACUCUGAGACAGGUGCUGCAUGGCUGUCGUCAGCUCGUGUUGUGAAAUGUUGGGUUAAGUCCCGCAACGAGCGCAACCCUUAUCCUUUGUUGCCAGCGGUUCGGCCGGGAACUCAAAGGAGACUGCCGGUGAUAAACCGGAGGAAGGUGGGGAUGACGUCAAGUCAUCAUGGCCCUUACAGCCAGGGCUACACACGUGCUACAAUGGCGCAUACAAAGAGAAGCGACCUCGCGAGAGCAAGCGGACCUCAUAAAGUGCGUCGUAGUCCGGAUUGGAGUCUGCAACUCGACUCCAUGAAGUCGGAAUCGCUAGUAAUCGUAGAUCAGAAUGCUACGGUGAAUACGUUCCCGGGCCUUGUACACACCGCCCGUCACACCAUGGGAGUGGGUUGCAAAAGAAGUAGGUAGCUUAACCUUCGGGAGGGCGCUUACCACUUUGUGAUUCAUGACUGGGGUGAAGUCGUAACAAGGUAAGCGUAGCGAG
Molecule: ribosomal RNA, 521 nt
Filed under: uncultured bacterium
Lineage: Bacteria
Description: bacterial SSU rRNA
Rfam family: Bacterial small subunit ribosomal RNA
Source: RNAcentral